This 464-nucleotide ribosomal RNA is filed under the name Vreelandella stevensii. RNAcentral describes it as "partial 16S ribosomal RNA". It matches the Rfam family "Bacterial small subunit ribosomal RNA", at positions 338 to 795 of the family's 1533-position model. The record is from RNAcentral. Lineage: Bacteria; Pseudomonadati; Pseudomonadota; Gammaproteobacteria; Oceanospirillales; Halomonadaceae.
CCUACGGUGGCUGCAGUGGGGAAUAUUGGACAAUGGGCGAAAGCCUGAUCCAGCCAUGCCGCGUGUGUGAAGAAGGCCUUCGGGUUGUAAAGCACUUUCAGUGGGGAAGAAAGCCUUGGGGCUAAUACCCUCGAGGAAGGACAUCACCCACAGAAGAAGCACCGGCUAACUCCGUGCCAGCAGCCGCGGUAAUACGGAGGGUGCGAGCGUUAAUCGGAAUUACUGGGCGUAAAGCGCGCGUAGGCGGUCUGAUAAGCCGGUUGUGAAAGCCCCGGGCUCAACCUGGGAACGGCAUCCGGAACUGUCAGGUUAGAGUGCAGGAGAGGAAGGUAGAAUUCCCGGUGUAGCGGUGAAAUGCGUAGAGAUCGGGAGGAAUACCAGUGGCGAAGGCGGCCUUCUGGACUGACACUGACGCUGAGGUGCGAAAGCGUGGGUAGCAAACAGGAUUAGAUACCCGUGUAGUC